UUACAGUCCAGCCCUCCAACGGUCUGAGGGACAGUGAACUGGCCCCCUGUUUAAAAAGUUUGAGGACCCCUGAUCUAAACUGUGCCUCAAUGGGACUCAAAAAAAAAUGAAUUUGCAUGAAACUGUUGUUUGAUUCUGAGCCCUGAGUGAAGGUUUAGGGAAAUAGUGCCGAAUCCACGUCUCUGCUCAGAGGAAGUGUGUGACUCCUCACCUCUGCCGGUGUCGGCCUGGGGCCCUUGGAGAUGCAGGAUGGCAGAACCCCCCCCCCCCAGGUCGCAAUGGGAGCCCCCCAGGUUGCCAUGGAGAACCCCCCCAGGUCGCCAUGGGAGCCCCCCUCCGCCCAGGAGGAACAGGGUGGGCGCGGCCCUGGCCCUGGCCAUUCCUUCUGCGUGUCCCUCCAACACGCUGAGGAAAGGCAGCAGGAAUAGGUCUGUACACGUGGAGUAUGAGUGCCUGUCCUUGCUGGUCUCUGAUGGAUGUCCAGGUAGUCCGUUUCCUCUGACUCUCACCUGGAUGCGGGCUGUCUGCAGACGGAGGAUCAGAUGGAAACCCGGGUUCAGAGUCUCCUUGUUCUUUUGCUCCACGAGACUCUGUAACCGAGGCCACUUCUCUGCUGUUCUUGGAAAGAGGCGUCUGUCCAAGGGUCGCCGUGUGUCUCCCGUGGCGUCUGCGGAGAAUGAGGAGGCGCCUGGGGCUGAAAGGGCCCCAUCCCAGUAGGACAGACCCCACGCACUUGGGCGGCAAAGCUAUAGGCCUUUUUAUAAAAGUCUCUAGCAAGG
Molecule: long non-coding RNA, 779 nt
Organism: Myotis daubentonii (Daubenton's bat)
Lineage: Eukaryota; Metazoa; Chordata; Mammalia; Chiroptera; Vespertilionidae
Source: RefSeq, a predicted model, not a curated record